RNAcentral lists this ribosomal RNA (254 nucleotides) under uncultured bacterium. RNAcentral's name for it is "partial 16S ribosomal RNA". It matches the Rfam family "Bacterial small subunit ribosomal RNA", at positions 524 to 776 of the family's 1533-position model. The record is from RNAcentral.
UACGUAGGGUGCGAGCGUUGUCCGGAAUUACUGGGCGUAAAGAGCUCGUAGGUGGUUUGUCGCGUUGUUCGUGAAAACCGGGGGCUUAACCCUCGGCGUGCGGGCGAUACGGGCAGACUGGAGUACUGCAGGGGAGACUGGAAUUCCUGGUGUAGCGGUGAAAUGCGCAGAUAUCAGGAGGAACACCGGUGGCGAAGGCGGGUCUCUGGGCCGUAACUGACGCUGGAGGAGCGAAAGCAUGGGGAGCGAACAGG